AGAACCGCAGAGUCUCCGCUUCAGGCGUUUGGACUCAGUGGAGGUUGUGAGUGCCCAGCAGUGUGGCCUGAAUCUCCGUGGAGUUUAGGGAGACGAAAGGACCCCAGAUCGACGUCCCCUCGUUCCCACUUUGGGGAUCGGCGCUCUGGCUGUUUCGUGAAGGAGAGAGAGGUUGAUUCCAUACCCUGGCUAUUGUGAAUAAUGCUGCAGUGAACAUGGGAGUACAUACAUCUGUUUGAGGAACUCAGAGUGGUUUUCCAGAUGGGAAUCACAUUGCUCUCUGUCCCUGAGAUCUUGCUGGAGACAGGGCUACUCAGUCCCUCUUUGCCAGGUAAUCUGUUCCAGAAGAAACAUGUGUCGUUCUGACUAAGCCCCUGCGUGUCUGUCACCUUAAGAGCCAGUCAAUUCAUAUGGUCCCCAUAUCAAAGUCUCCUGUGCCCAGAGAGAGGAUUUCAUUUCAACCAUCACCAUCACCACCAUCAUCAUCAUCACCAAGAGGGGUUGUUGAAUUGAUAUUGGAAAAGCAGUUUCUAUUGAGCCCCCAAAUGAAGAGUGAGUGCAGAUGAAGAGGAGGCAGGACUCACAAGCCCUUGACCUUCAUUCCAGAUCCGUUAGCACCUACAGGAUCCUGCACCGGGAUUUCAUCUGUACUAUCAGCUUCUUCAAAGAGAGAGAGGUUGUUGAAUUGAUAUUGGAAAAGCAGUUUCCCAUUGAGUCUCAAAUGAAGAGAGAGUGCAGAUGAAGAGGAGGUAGGAGUCACAAGCCCUUGACCCUCAUACUAGACCCAUUACCACCUACAGGACCUUGCAGUGGGAUUUCAUCUGCACCAUCAGCUUCUUCAAAGAGAGGGAG
This 852-nucleotide long non-coding RNA is filed under the name Pongo abelii (Sumatran orangutan). Its description in RNAcentral is "lincRNA". Lineage: Eukaryota; Metazoa; Chordata; Mammalia; Primates; Hominidae. The record is from RNAcentral.